Molecule: ribosomal RNA, 253 nt
Filed under: uncultured bacterium
Lineage: Bacteria
Description: partial 16S ribosomal RNA
Rfam family: Bacterial small subunit ribosomal RNA
Source: RNAcentral
UACGAAGGGGGCUAGCGUUGUUCGGAAUUACUGGGCGUAAAGGGCGCGUAGGCGGUGUGUCAAGUCAGGCGUGAAAGCCCCGGGCUCAACCUGGGAACAGCGCUUGAGACUGGCACGCUCGAGUUCGGGAGAGGAUGGUGGAAUUCCCAGUGUAGAGGUGAAAUUCGUAGAUAUUCGCAAGAACACCAGUGGCGAAGGCGGCUCACUGGCCCGAUACUGACGCUGAGGUGCGAAAGCGUGGGGAGCAAACAGG